GGGUGCGACCAUACCAGCACUAACGCACCGAAUCUCGUCAAAACUCUGAAGUUAAGCAUGCUUGGGCGAGAGCAGUACUAGGAUGGGUGACCCCCUGGUAAUUCCUCGUUUGCACCCC
RNAcentral lists this ribosomal RNA (118 nucleotides) under Olea europaea subsp. europaea. The record is from RNAcentral. Lineage: Eukaryota; Viridiplantae; Streptophyta; Magnoliopsida; Lamiales; Oleaceae.